RNAcentral lists this long non-coding RNA (990 nucleotides) under Coturnix japonica (Japanese quail). RNAcentral describes it as "lncRNA (ENSCJPG00005000474.1)". The record is from RNAcentral. Lineage: Eukaryota; Metazoa; Chordata; Aves; Galliformes; Phasianidae.
AUGAGUACAGUUCUGCCAUUAGCUGUUCUUCUCUUCAAGGGGCAUGCUUGCUGCUUUGUACCUGGCAGAGCAUCUGUUGGACAUGUGCUCCUGAGAGCUCCACAAGUCCUUGAAUGUUCAAGGUGCAAAGUUGGUGUGCUACUGUCCAUGGAGUGUUUUGGGUCCUGUCCAUCAGAAGGCUACAACAGCAUGGAUGGAUGCACAACAGACAAUUCAGAUCCACUUCAUUUCUGAAAGAGCGCGACACCUGAGGACAGCCCAGGAUCCAGAAGUUGCAUCCUUUCUUACUGGAACCUCUGGAGCUCUUCUUUUUGGGAUACUAAUUUUGUCUUCAUUGGAGUAACACUACCAGUAUCACAGCCCAGAGGCAGACUCAUAAAGAUCAUACAGGGGUAAGGUGUUUCUUUUUGUUUCUGAAGAUGUUUCUUUUUCAUUUGCCGCUGGCUCAACAAGCUUCCAUUUGUUCAGAAAGUUGACCAUUUUAUCACUUGAAAUGUUUUGACUUCUCCUUACAAACUAAUUCAGUGAAUACCAUGCCUGACCUGACAUUCUAGUCCUGUGUCCUUGGACACUGUGACAUUUCCAGCACUGCAAAGAUUAGAUGUGCUGCAUGUUUUUUAUAUGCUUAGUGCAUACUUCCCUCUGCAGGAAACUUGAAGUCAGUAGCAGCUAUAGCCUGUGGCAGCACUGUGCAACAUGAAGUGUUAAUUCCUAUAAUCUACAGAAAUGGGUACUUGGUUUUGGCCAGCAGUCCUGGUGUUAUAGUCACUUUUUAAGACAUAGACUCAAUGACAGCAACCAAAUGCUACUGCUGGUUCAGCUGCUUCUCUUACAACUUCGUUCUGAUCUAGAAAACAAAAACUUGUGGCUGAAGACUGUGUUUAGCUCACACCCUCCCAGAACUUGUUCCGCUGCAGUGUUUGAUCAUACUUGUGUACAGUCAAACUUACAAGAAAUACUUAAAAUAACUGAGAAGGUACCUGUUCAUAU